UUAAGUUCAGCGGGUAUUCCUACCUGAUCCGAGGUCAACCUUUCAAAAGUUGAGGGUUUUUCGGCAUGUUAUAUAAAAGUUUCAAAGUGUAAAGCUAAGCAUUUACUACACAGGGAAGCUGUAUAUACAACAGCCGAUGCAUUUCGGCGGCGCGACUAAACGCGGGUCCUCCAACACCAAGCAGAGCUUGAGUGGUGAAA
Molecule: unclassified non-coding RNA, 200 nt
Filed under: Thielaviopsis sp.
Lineage: Eukaryota; Fungi; Ascomycota; Sordariomycetes; Microascales; Ceratocystidaceae
Description: partial internal transcribed spacer 2
Source: RNAcentral